UACCAGCUCUCCGAGUGGUGUGGAUGUUUAUUGGACCUAAAGCAUCCGUAGCUGGCUGGACAAGUCCCCUGUUAAAUCCACCGAUUUAAUCGUUGGAGUGCGGGGGAUACUGUUCGGCUAGGGGACGGGAGAGGCAGACGGUAUUUUCGGGGUAGGGGUGAAAUCCUAUAAUCCCGGGAAGACCACCAGUGGCGAAGGCUGUCUGCUAGAACGCGACCGACGGUGAGGGAUGAAAGCUGGGGGAGCGAACCGGAUUAGAUACCCGGGUAGUCCCAGCUGUAAACGAUGCAGGCUAGGUGUUUGGGCGGCCACGUGCCGCUCUAGUGCCGCAGGGAAGCCGUUAAGCCUGCCGCCUGGGGAGUACGGCCGCAAGGCUGAAACUUAAAGGAAUUGGCGGGGGAGCACCACAAGGGGUGAAGCUUGCGGUUU
This 429-nucleotide ribosomal RNA is filed under the name uncultured archaeon. Its description in RNAcentral is "bacterial SSU rRNA". It matches the Rfam family "Archaeal small subunit ribosomal RNA", at positions 474 to 903 of the family's 1478-position model. The record is from RNAcentral.